Molecule: ribosomal RNA, 479 nt
Filed under: uncultured bacterium
Lineage: Bacteria
Description: partial 16S ribosomal RNA
Rfam family: Bacterial small subunit ribosomal RNA
Source: RNAcentral
AUGAACGCUGGCGGCGUGCUUAACACAUGCCAGUCGAACGAAGCACUUUAUUUGAUUUCCUUCGGGACUGAUUAUUUUGUGACUGAGUGGCGGACGGGUGAGUAACGCGUGGGUAACCUGCCUUGUACAGGGGGAUAACAGUUGGAAACGGCUGCUAAUACCGCAUAAGCGCACAGCAUCGCAUGAUGCAGUGUGAAAAACUCCGGUGGUAUAAGAUGGACCCGCGUUGGAUUAGCUAGUUGGUGAGGUAACGGCCCACCAAGGCGACGAUCCAUAGCCGACCUGAGAGGGUGACCGGCCACAUUGGGACUGAGACACGGCCCAAACUCCUACGGGAGGCAGCAGUGGGGAAUAUGGCACAAUGGGCGAAAGCCUGAUGCAGCGACGCCGCGUGAGCGAAGAAGUAUUUCGGUAUGUAAAGCUCUAUCAGCAGGGAAGAUAAUGACGGUACCUGACUAAGAAGCACCGGCUAAAUACGU